UGCAGUCGCUUUCUGACUUCAGGCAGUCGUCCAGUCGUGCCGGACGGUCAUCUGUGGUGACGCACGUUUUUUAACGCAGAUAAAAGAAAUAUACUGAAACACACUGGUGUUCCCAAAUGGCUAUGCUGGUGAAGGAUGUACAUCUACCCACAUCACCAGCACAAGAACUUAAUUUGCCAAAGCACAAGGAGUACUUGGCAAGCUAUGGGACUAAAAAAGAUGAUUAUGAGUACUGCAUCACAGAGCAUCUGCGAAUGAGCGGUAUCUACUGGGGCCUGACAGCCAUGGACCUAAUGGGUGCCCUGGACUCCUUUGAUAGGGCAGAGAUAAUUGAGUUUGUGAAACAGUGCCAGUAUUCCUGUGGGGGCUUUGGGGCCAGCAUUCAUCAUGACCCUCAUCUCCUGUACACAUUGAGUGCUGUUCAGAUAUUAUCGACGUUUGAUGCCCUAGAUACAAUUGACAUUGAAAAAACCGUAAGCUAUGUCAAGGAACUUCAGCAGGAAGAUGGCAGUUUUUAUGGUGACAAAUGGGGUGAAGUUGACACUAGGUUUUCUUUCUGUGCUGUAGCAUGUCUAGCACUUCUGAACAAGCUACAUUCUAUCAACAUAGAAAAGGCAGUUGAAUUUGUGGUGUCCUGCAUGAACUUCGACGGUGGUUUUGGCUGCAGGCCAGGCUCAGAAACACAUUCAGGCCAGAUAUAUUGCUGCCUUGGAACCCUGUCCAUACUUGGUCGGCUUCACCAUAUUAAUGCAGACCUUCUUGGUUGGUGGUUAUGUGAAAGGCAACUUCCAUCUGGAGGUCUCAAUGGUCGGCCUGAGAAGCUCCCAGAUGUGUGCUACUCAUGGUGGGUGCUUGCCUCGCUGAAGAUCAUCGGCAGGCUGCACUGGAUAGACAAGGAGAAGCUUCAGAACUUCAUACUUGCAUCUCAGGAUGAAGAAACUGGUGGCUUUGGAGACCGACCGGGAGACAUGGGCCAUCGCGUGCAUUGAUCGGCGAAGAGGAGGAACUCACGACUUUCCAACAACCUCCAUGCCGGUUUUCUUCGUAAAGGCUUUCCCACAUCAGUGAUCAUGCACACCAUGGGCUGGUCGUCCUCGUCUUCUGCGCCUCCCCGUGACGUGGACGGCGUCACGCCGGCGGCUACGCACAGGUUCAGCGCCUGCGAGUCCG
Molecule: unclassified non-coding RNA, 1170 nt
Filed under: Dermacentor andersoni
Lineage: Eukaryota; Metazoa; Arthropoda; Arachnida; Ixodida; Ixodidae
Description: geranylgeranyl transferase type-2 subunit beta-like
Source: RNAcentral